Molecule: ribosomal RNA, 161 nt
Filed under: uncultured Nitrospirales bacterium
Lineage: Bacteria; Pseudomonadati; Nitrospirota; Nitrospiria; Nitrospirales
Description: partial 16S ribosomal RNA
Rfam family: Bacterial small subunit ribosomal RNA
Source: RNAcentral
AAUACGCAUGAGCGAGCCUGACGCAGCGACGCCGCGUGGGGGAUGAAGGUCUUCGGAUUGUAAACCCCUUUCGGGAGGGAAGAUGGGAUGGGGUAACCCAUUCGGACGGUACCUCCAGAAGCAGCCACGUCUAACUUCGUGCCAGCAGCCGCGGUAAUAAU